This is an RNA transcript of Zeugodacus cucurbitae (melon fly), 5453 nucleotides long. RefSeq lists it as uncharacterized. NCBI's taxonomy places the organism in Eukaryota, Metazoa, Arthropoda, Insecta, Diptera, Tephritidae. The transcript has 17 exons. The record is from RefSeq and is a predicted model, not a curated record.
ACCAUUCAGUUUGGUUUCGCUUUGCUUUCGAAAGGUUUUCAAUUUGGUUUCGUUUAACACUCCUCAGUCGGUUCGGUUUGGUUUCGUUUUGUGAAUUUCAGUUUGAUUUGAUCUAAUGAAAAUUUCAUAAAUAAGCUAAGUGAAAUCGGAAAGGCGAUGGCUAAAUACGCAAUCUCUUUAACCCAGCGAAAAGCGAUUUUCCCACGAAGCAUUUGUGCAAUAAUCACUUGUGUAUAAUAUGUUUCUAAAUACAUACGUAUGUCCAUUUGUAUGUGCUCAAAGUGUGUGCUCCAGUUUUUCUGAAUUCCAAAAUAGCAAAACAACACAGAUUCAUAACAUAUUUCAAUUGUGAAAAAUUCAUCAGCUAGUGUGCUAAAAAUAGCCUGUUGAAAUCUUUUUGGCUUCCAUAUUAAUUUUCAGAAUAACUUCACUCGCCGCGAAUCACAUACACUUCGGCCAUUCGUCCGACCACUUUUCGUCCAUAGCAUUCGGCAUUCGGUCAACGAGAGUUUGGCUAUUUUCGCAAGUGAACGUGUGUGUGUGUGAGCAGUUGGAGGAUCCCCAAAUGUGUUUUGACACACAAAUGAAAAUCUCAAAAGCUACAAGUGAAAAUGAUAAACAGUUUCUGAAACGAAAGUAAAGACUCUACGCAAAUGUACUAAUAAACAAGCAACAAAAACGAAAGAACAAUUGGAAAAAUAAUUUAUGAAGCGCAAACAUUUUGAAAAAUUCGUUUAGGUGUGAUUUUGUUUGUUCGCUGUGAUUUUCAUUUUUUUUUUAUUGAAUUUAUUUAAUCUUCUUUGAGUGGAGCUAAAGAGUACGCCGAAUUUGAGACGAUAUGAUGCGUAAAAAUUGAUUUAUGCAUCUGCCAUCGCUUUGAAUUAUGGAUUUAGCAGAUCAAAUCGAUGAUUAUAUUUGUUCAUUUGAAGGAAUUGGUGAUUUAACAAUGGACUCACUAGCAAUGUUCAUAUUUAUCUGGGCUGUAUUGGCCCUCUUCUUAGUAUGGCUGUGUAAAUUUUUAUAUAAUAAAUAUGUGGUAAACAACAACAAAACGCCGACAAGUCAGACCAACAGUCGGCAGAGCAGUGUAGCGCCCGGCGCCGCCGCUACAGCGAAAAAUGAAGCCAGCAAACGACUAUCCGAGCCGAGAGAAGUGAUGGCGAGCAAAGCAGAUUUCAAGGACUUAGCUGCCAAACCCGGUGGCGGUGGUGCACGCGGUCGCGCUCCAAGUGGCGGUGCUGGAGGUGCCGCUGGUGGUGCUGGCGCACGACGCCGCAUGGUGCGACAGGGGUCAACUGGACCAGAAAGCCGCAAGAAACGCUACGUGCCGCCACCGUCCAAUGUUGUUGGACCCGAAACAACUUCCGUUACUUGGACCAGUCAAGUGUUCCGUUGGCUUUACAGCGAUCUUGUGAUUGUCAACGAAUUGUUAACCUCUUGGGUUAUAGCCUUAAAUGAGACUCUGAAGAAAUCGAUGGAAGAGCAUGGCGUCGCAGUGGAGGUGGUGCGUGUACUGCCCGAUAGUCCACCACCCAGUUUGAACAAUAUAUUUUGCAACUGUGACGAAAUGAAUCCAUCUAAUAUGCUGAUCACCUUUGAUUGUGACGCACAGCCUGUGCUACAGGUGAAGACGCUCCGCCAGAAGGCCGGCAAGGUUGACACCUCACACUACAAAGUGACCGUCUCGCGCUUCCGUGCACGUAUGGCAACCGCCAUGAAUUACAACACACUCAAGGGCGAGAUGAAAGUGGAUGGCUAUCCUGAUAUCCGCGUUGCUAUGAAUAGUGUGGGCGCCAUCAAGCCAAUGGAUCAAGACGAGCAGCAGCUGCAAGGAGUCAUUAGUGAAAUAAUCACCGCCACUCUGCGAGACAGUGUGUAUCCAGUGGACUUUUCGGUCUAUGCAACCUGUCCCCGUGCCGAAGUCGAUCCGCUUGACAUGCCUGUAAUAUAUCCAGUCAAUUAUGAUGGGCUAGCGCAAAACAUGGAGGGUUCCAAUUUUUCAGCGCUGCAACCGAUGAUCUCUGGCCGUCGUUUGCUUGUAAAAAUCGUUAAAGGUGAGGGACUGGCCGACGCCAAAGACCCAUUCGUGGUGGUGGAGAUGGACGAACCUGCACAAAAGAAUCAAACUGGCGCUCGACAAGGAGCCACGCCCUAUUGGGAUGAACAUUUCCUAUUUGAAUUGUCUCCACAGUCAGCUGAGAUUUUAUUUGAAGUUUACGAUCGGCCCGAUAAAGGCGUUGAAGCGCCCAGAUUUCUCGGUUUGGGUUUGGUGGGCAUUGAUGAGUUGGCCGUCGGGCCGGCGUCCACACAAGUGCUGACACUGCAGCCGCGUCCGUAUGAGACGAGCCCGGUGAGUGGCACCAUCACUGUGGACUUUGUGUUCAUUGAGGGUGCAGAAAUACCCGCUGGACCCAAGCCGUACAAACUGAAAGAGGCGCUGAAGAUCAGCACGCCCAUCAUUAAUGAGCACAUGAAGAACGGCGCAGGUUUGGCUGAUGCGGCUGUGCGCGCCUUGCAAGAUGGCGCACUCUCUACAACAGGACAGCCCAGCAAGAGUACACUCAUUAUACACAGCGUCCAAAGGAACCAAAACAAUUCAAAUGCAUUUAAGGUUGAAAUUAACAAGGAGGGCAGAAUCGAAGUUAAAGAGUCACCACAAGAAGAACUUGACGGUGCUGUGACACAAAUUUUAGAAUCUCCAUUAAACGAUAAUACGAGCGAAUCGUUGCCCACCGCGAAUACGACAGCGGAUAUCGAGCAAAUCCAACAGGAGAUUUCGGUGGCGACGGAUAUAACCGCGAGUCCCACAGACUCGUGUCCACCAAACGAUGUGUCUCUAGAUGAAUCCGGUGUGGCAUCAGGUAACAGCAGCGCUUUGGUUGCAUCCAGCAGCGAGUUUGGCCAACCGAAUGCCGCCUCUUCACCACAGGGCCACAAUGGCUACUCACCAUACAAUGGCAACUCGACUUCAAACGGCUCACAGACUUAUGGAUACCAAAGUAACAGUCUGCCCCGCAAUGGUGGUGCGACUGGCACACCAUUAAGCGCCGCUGAUCUGGACGAGAGAGGACGGAGUAAGAAACGAAAUUUCUUUGGAACAUUAAAAAAACGUUUAAGUCGAUCCAAAACACGCACCCAUUCGGCUGAUCGUGGCGCUUUGACGCCGUCCCACAAUAAUAACGGUACCACCCCAACAGGAACACUUAACGGUGAUUCACGUUCAUUAUCUGUCGAUCGUGCUGUAUUGUCUAAAAGCAAUUCACUUGGCUUACGCGCUGGCUCAUCACGACUUGAUCACUCAAGGCAAUCUUCAAUUUCAGAAUCGUCCGCAAUCUCAGGUUUCUCGUCGGCCAGCAACAAAACGUACGUACACGAAGCAUCCACACUGGUGCUGGAGACGAUCGAGAAUGGUGUGAAGCGGCAUUUCAUUGUGCCGCUGGCAAUUGCACAAAGGCCCAGGUGGCGUCGCAAGGGCACAAAACUGCACAUCUAUAAUGACCACACCUUUAUCGCCAAACAUUUGAGCGGUGGCGGCCUGCAAUGUCAAGUCUGCAUGAAGUCCAUCCCGCGGCGACCGGGCAAACAGGGAUACGAAUGUCGGGACUGUAAUUUGAUCUGCCACAAACAAUGCCACAUACGCGCACCACAGGCGUGUCCGAAUCCUACAGUGCUUUCAAUGGAAUUGACCUCAUUUCCGGUACUCACAGAACAAGAUAUACUUUAGUCAACUUUAUAUUUGAAUUUCUAGUACUCAUAAGUUUUAUUGUCAUAAAAACUUUGAAUUUUUCAUUCAAUAUACUAUAUCGAUUAAAUGUUUUUAAUUUAUGCGAAAUACUCGGGAUUUUUUUUUACAAUAUAUUUUAAAAAUAUCGUACAUUUGUAUGAUUUUUUACAUAAACAAAAAAAAAAAAACAAAUAUCAAAGUUAGCAAUUUAAAUUUUGAGCGAAAUUGUUUCUAAACUUUCAACCCGCAUUGCUUUCGCAUUGAAAAAUAACUGUUUGCAAAUUUGUGCUUCAAACGUCGUUUUAAAUCCCGUUAUCUACAUUAAACAUAUUAAAGUCACUAAAUUCAUGCAUUUUUUAUUUAUUGUCAUACUGAUUCUGUAAUAUAGACUGAAUCACUCAUAUAAAGUCAAUAUACACGGAUUUCUUUAUAAAAGUUGCUUAAAAAUUUGCAAAUAAAUGCUUUUAAUAUGUAUAUCAUACGCUUAUCAUUUAACUGUAUAUAUAUUCCAAACUAAUGACAAAAUGCACUCCCACCAUGCUCUCUAUGAACACAGGAUGAUGACUUUUAAAGAAAUAGAUCUAACAACGCCGCCAAAUCCACGCUUCACUAACCAUUAUAUAAACCAAAACAAGUUUGAAAACAAUUUUGUAACCAAUAAAUUCACUGUUGUAAGCUUUAAACACGAGCUUUUCGUGCAAGAUCAAUUUGCAAUAUACUAUAAAUGCAUAGAUGUGAGUUUUUGAACUCGAAAAUUGUAUUCCGAAGCCACAAUAUUUAAAAAUCAUGCUGACAAUACACAGAAGUGAAUAAGGUACUAGAGAUUUCGGCAACUUGUUUGAUGAUCGAAACUUAAUUCUGCCGCUGCGGAUCGGAGUAUAAGGAAAUUAUGAAAGCGCAGAUAAUGCACAAACAUCCACAAUCAUCCAUGAUCUGUCACAACAGCCUCGGCGCAACGCAUCACAACAGCAGCGCAGAAAGGAAGGAAUAACUCAGAAUCAAACUUAGACGAAAAGGUUCCGAGUGACAAAAACAGCGCUUACAAAAGUUGAAUACUUCAUUUCGCUGUUAUUUUAUGUAGAGCUUCUAGUUGUUUUUGUUUUUAAGUAUAUUUCAAAUACUCGCACACUACAUAAUCGAUCAUUGCUUAAAACAUAAUUGGGUUGAAAAUGAAAAAUAUUUAUUUUUUGUUAUAUUUUUUAGUUCUUUGUGAAUUUGCUCUCACUUAUAUUGUGGUUGAUCAAGGAAAUUUUCACUAAUUUGUAUAUUUUCCAUGUUAAGAUGUUUCUUUAAGUUAUAGUCAUUAUAUUAAAUACAGUUGCAAUAUUUUAACUAAGUCUAUAUCAAAGGCUACAGUUUUUAUAUACAAUUAAAUUUCCCCUGCAUAUUAUGUAUAUAUGUAUAUGUAGUUAUAUUUUUUAUUUUUGUAUACUAUAAAAAUAGGAUUUUCGAAUGUUAUAAUCUUAUAAAUAUUUUAAUCUCUGUUUGUUUUAAACGUGCAAUAUUCUCUAUUUGUUUUAAGCAUAUAUUUCUUUUAAGAACUUCUUUUGUAAUUUUAAAGUUUUAAACUAUGUAACUAAAAACUUCAACUCACGAAAACUGUACACAUUACAAAUUAAACGAUCACAGUACGAAAACACAAAUAAAUGUUCAAAUAACGUAAUUCUUAAAACGAAAAACAGGAAAAAAAAUAAAAACUGGUGGAUUUUUAAACGAUACUACAAUACAA